RNAcentral lists this non-coding RNA (22 nucleotides) under Arabidopsis thaliana (thale cress). The record is from RNAcentral. Lineage: Eukaryota; Viridiplantae; Streptophyta; Magnoliopsida; Brassicales; Brassicaceae.
UGGGUACAUUCGGGUCAUCUUG